RNAcentral lists this ribosomal RNA (522 nucleotides) under Zizula hylax. RNAcentral's name for it is "partial 16S ribosomal RNA". The stretch from base 390 to 522 matches the Rfam family "Archaeal large subunit ribosomal RNA", at positions 2542 to 2675 of the family's 2987-position model. Lineage: Eukaryota; Metazoa; Arthropoda; Insecta; Lepidoptera; Lycaenidae. The record is from RNAcentral.
UUUUUGAUUUAAUUAAUUUAAAGUCUAAUCUGCCCACUGAUUUAUUGAUUAAAGGGCUGCAGUAAUUUGACUGUACAAAGGUAGCAUAAUCAUUAGUCUUUUAAUUGGAGACUUGUAUGAAAGAUUUGAUGAAAUAUAAACUGUCUCUAAUUUAUUAUUAUUAGAAUUUAAUUUUUUAGUUAAAAAGCUAAAAUAAAUUUAAAAGACGAGAAGACCCUAUAGAGUUUAAUAGUUUUUAAUUUAAAAUAUUUAUAUAAAAUUUUAAUAUUUAAUUUUAUAAAUUAUUUUGUUGGGGUGAUAAAAAAAUAAAAAAAACUUUUUUUUUAAAUUUUCAUAGAUAAGUGAAUAAUUGAUCCAUUUUAAUGAUUAUAAGAAAAAAUUACCUUAGGGAUAACAGCGUAAUAUUUUUUUUUAGUACAAAUAAAAAAAAAAGUUUGCGACCUCGAUGUUGGAUUAAGAUAAAAUUUAAAUGCAAAAGUUUAAAAUUUUGAUCUGUUCGAUCAUUAAAAUCUUACAUGAUCU